This 254-nucleotide ribosomal RNA is filed under the name uncultured bacterium. Its description in RNAcentral is "partial 16S ribosomal RNA". It matches the Rfam family "Bacterial small subunit ribosomal RNA", at positions 524 to 776 of the family's 1533-position model. The record is from RNAcentral.
CACGUAGGGGGCGAGCGUUGUCCGGAUUUAUUGGGCGUAAAGAGCUCGUAGGCGGUUUGGCAAGUCGGGUGUGAAAUUUCGAGGCUCAACCUCGAAACGCCACUCGAUACUGCCAUGACUGGAGUCCGGUAGAGGAGUGCGGAAUUCCUGGUGUAGCGGUGAAAUGCGCAGAUAUCAGGAGGAACACCAACGGCGAAGGCAGCACUCUGGGCCGGUACUGACGCUGAGGAGCGAAAGCGUGGGGAUCAAACAGG